Molecule: long non-coding RNA, 2069 nt
Filed under: Xyrichtys novacula (pearly razorfish)
Lineage: Eukaryota; Metazoa; Chordata; Actinopteri; Labriformes; Labridae
Source: RNAcentral
CAGAAACCAGCCGGCGAUGUGACAGGCCGGCUAACAGGAGGCUCCAGGGCUAAUGCCGAGGCAUUUAUGACUACGUUGCAGUUUUACAAUUAAGCUGUAGUAAGUACCUUUACUCGUGAAACUGGGCGCCAUUCUCUUGACUUUCCGGCGCUCUGCUUCACGUCUGGUUCACACUGGAAGCGCCGCGCGCGGAACGGAAGCGCCGCGCACAGAGUUUCGGAUCGGCGCCCAUGUUAACCUAUGAGACUGUUCACACAGCACGCGCGCGGAAGCGCCGCGCGCGGAACGGCUCGCGCUCUGGAGCGCGGGUGCUCCGCUUCUCUCUAUUUUCGGCGCGAGCCGCGAGCGCCGAUGUAAAGCUCAACAGAGCAGAUCGGACCAGACAGGAAGUCAGGAAGGAGAUGCGAGAGAAUCCGGUCAAUUUUCAAAAUAAAGUAAAUUUCAAUAAAUUAGAAAAGGAUUUACGGUGUUGCUUGUCAGUCUAUUUUUUUUACCGAUGAACACACACACACACACACACACACACACACACACACACACACACACACACACGCACACACGGAGGGAGAGCUGCAGAGAUUCAGUGAUGUUAUUGAGACAAAGAGGGGGGACUUUAUUACGAUACAGUCAAUAGCCUCGAGCUAACAAGGCUAUACAUACAACGGAGUCAACAGACUCCCCAAUUUAUUCGUCGUUUACCCCUAUAUCAUUAUUUAAAAGCAUCGUACUUGAAGAUGCUGUCAAUAUUUAAUUCAUGUAUGACGAAAUAAAAACGUAAAUAAAUAGUGAUUUACCCAUUUUUAAAGCGCUCGUAAGUGUGGAAAACUGAGGGCAGACGGAAACGGCCGAGCACUAUCGGGCUCAGUCGAUGUCUGACCGGCAUGUCAGAGCGCAGCAGAAAGCGCUUCCUGUGUGACGUCUGGUUCACACAGGAAGCGCCGCGCGCGGAACGGAAGCGCCGCGCGCGCGCGCGCAGCGCCGGCUCGCGCUUGGCUGUUCACACAGGAAGCGCUUUCUGCUGCGCUCUGACAUGCCGGUCAGACAUCGACUGAGCCCGGUAGUGCUCGGCCGUUUCCGUCUGCCCUCAGUUUUCCACACUUACGAGCGCUUUAAAAAUGGGUAAAUCACUAUUUAUUUACGUUUUUAUUUCGUCAUACAUGAAUUAAAUAUUGACAGCAUCUUCAAGUAAUGUUUUAAAUUAUUAUAUAGGGGUAAACGACGAAUAAAUUGGGGAGUCUGUUGACUCCGUUGUAUGUAUAGCCUUGUUAGCUCGAGGCUAUUGACUGUAUCGUAAUAAAGUCCCCCCCCUCUUUGUCUCAAUAACAUCACUGAAUCUCUGCAGCUCUCCCUCCGUGUGUGCGUGUGUGUGUGUGUGUGUGUGUGUGUGUGUGUGUGUGUGUGUGUGUGUGUGUGUGUGUUCAUCGGUAAAAAAAAUAGACUGACAAGCAACACCGUAAAUCCUUUUCUAAUUUAUUGAAAUUUACUUUAUUUUGAAAAUUGACCGGAUUCUCUCGCAUCUCCUUCCUGACUUCCUGUCUGGUCCGAUCUGCUCUGUUGAGCUUUACAUCGGCGCUCGCGGCUCGCGCCGAAAAUAGAGAGAAGCGGAGCACCCGCGCUCCAGAGCGCGAGCCGUUCCGCGCGCGGCGCUUCCGUGCGCGUGCUGUGUGAACAGUCUCAUAGGUUAACAUGGGCGCCGAUCCGAAACUCUGUGCGCGGCGCUUCCGUUCCCGCGCGCGGCGCUUCCAGUGUGAACCAGGCGUGAACAGCCAAGCGCGAGCCGGCGCUGCGCGCGCGCGCGGCGCUUCCGUUCCGCGCGCGGCGCUUCCUGUGUGAACCAGGCGUCAGUCGGGGGAAGAACUCCGCUCAAGAGAAAAGAAAAGCGUGUGGCUGGUGAUGAACUGAAGCAUCCUCUAUAACUGUAGCGAGCUCGCUGAUGCCGAAGCGGUCGAACUAGUGUCCAAGCUGUCGCAAACCGCGAGGAGUGAAGAAUUGCCGAGCUGUUCCAAAGACGGCUAGUAGCGGCAGUGCUCCUCGGUCUCUGUGAAGCAGACAGAUCCUGCAUACGCUAC